This 565-nucleotide ribosomal RNA is filed under the name uncultured bacterium. RNAcentral describes it as "partial 16S ribosomal RNA". It matches the Rfam family "Bacterial small subunit ribosomal RNA", at positions 355 to 911 of the family's 1533-position model. The record is from RNAcentral.
UGGGGAAUUUUGGACAAUGGGCGAAAGCCUGAUCCAGCAAUGCCGCGUGUGUGAAGAAGGCCUUCGGGUUGUAAAGCACUUUUGUCCGGAAAGAAAUCCUUGGCUCUAAUACAGUCGGGGGAUGACGGUACCGGAAGAAUAAGCACCGGCUAACUACGUGCCAGCAGCCGCGGUAAUACGUAGGGUGCAAGCGUUAAUCGGAAUUACUGGGCGUAAAGCGUGCGCAGGCGGUUUGCUAAGACCGAUGUGAAAUCCCCGGGCUCAACCUGGGAACUGCAUUGGUGACUGGCAGGCUAGAGUAUGGCAGAGGGGGGUAGAAUUCCACGUGUAGCAGUGAAAUGCGUAGAGAUGUGGAGGAAUACCGAUGGCGAAGGCAGCCCCCUGGGAUGAUACUGACGCUCAUGCACGAAAGCGUGGGGAGCAAACAGGAUUAGAUACCCUGGUAGUCCACGCCCUAAACGAUGUCAACUAGCUGUUGGGGUUUUAUUAACCUUAGUAGCGCAGCUAACGCGUGAAGUUGACCGCCUGGGGAGUACGGUCGCAAGAUUAAAAACUCAAAGGAAUU